AGUGCCUUUGGUUGCUGGAGGGAAGAACACAAUGGAUCUGGUGCUAAAAAGAUGCCUUCUUCAUUUGGCUGUGAUAGGUGCUUUGCUGGCUGUGGGGGCUACAAAAGUACCCAGAAACCAGGACUGGCUUGGUGUCUCAAGGCAACUCAGAACCAAAGCCUGGAACAGGCAGCUGUAUCCAGAGUGGACAGAAGCCCAGAGACUUGACUGCUGGAGAGGUGGUCAAGUGUCCCUCAAGGUCAGUAAUGAUGGGCCUACACUGAUUGGUGCAAAUGCCUCCUUCUCUAUUGCCUUGAACUUCCCUGGAAGCCAAAAGGUAUUGCCAGAUGGGCAGGUUAUCUGGGUCAACAAUACCAUCAUCAAUGGGAGCCAGGUGUGGGGAGGACAGCCAGUGUAUCCCCAGGAAACUGACGAUGCCUGCAUCUUCCCUGAUGGUGGACCUUGCCCAUCUGGCUCUUGGUCUCAGAAGAGAAGCUUUGUUUAUGUCUGGAAGACCUGGGGUGAGGGACUCCCUUCUCAGCCUAUCAUCCACACUUGUGUUUACUUCUUUCUACCUGAUCACCUUUCUUUUGGCCGCCCCUUCCACCUUAACUUCUGUGAUUUUCUCUAAUCUUCAUUUUCCUCUUAGAUCUUUUCUCUUUCUUAGCACCUAGCCCCCUUCAACUCUAUCAUAAUUCUUUCUGGCAACUCUUCCUCAAUUGUAGUCCUACCCCAUGGAAUGCCUCAUUAGGACCCCUUCCCUGUCCCCCCAUAUCACAGCCUUCCAAACACCCUCAGAAGUAAUCAUACUUCCUGACCUCC
This 801-nucleotide long non-coding RNA is filed under the name Homo sapiens (human). RNAcentral's name for it is "non-protein coding lnc-PYM1-4:3". Lineage: Eukaryota; Metazoa; Chordata; Mammalia; Primates; Hominidae. The record is from RNAcentral.